UACGUAGGGUGCGAGCGUUAAUCGGAAUUACUGGGCGUAAAGCGUGCGCAGGCGGUUUGUUAAGACCGAUGUGAAAUCCCCGGGCUCAACCUGGGAACUGCAUUGGUGACUGGCAAGCUAGAGUCUGGCAGAGGGGGGUAGAAUUCCACGUGUAGCAGUGAAAUGCGUAGAGAUGUGGAAGAAUACCGGUGGCGAAGGCGGCCCCCUGGGCCAAUACUGACGCU
RNAcentral lists this ribosomal RNA (224 nucleotides) under uncultured prokaryote. RNAcentral describes it as "partial 16S ribosomal RNA". It matches the Rfam family "Bacterial small subunit ribosomal RNA", at positions 524 to 747 of the family's 1533-position model. The record is from RNAcentral.